This 385-nucleotide long non-coding RNA is filed under the name Callithrix jacchus (white-tufted-ear marmoset). Its description in RNAcentral is "lncRNA (ENSCJAG00000075834.1)". Lineage: Eukaryota; Metazoa; Chordata; Mammalia; Primates; Cebidae. The record is from RNAcentral.
GAGGCAGAGCUUUUAAGAGAGUUCCCACCAGCAAGAAGGCUCUCAUCAGAUGUGACACCUUCUACCUUGGACCUCUUAGAGUCCAUAACUCAUCCAGACUUUUGCAUCAUCGUGGUAGACAGCGGUGGAGGCAGCCAGACCUGGACCAGUGCAAGCAAGACCUGUGGAAUGAACAUAUGGGUCCUGACCCGUGGCAGAGAGAGUACAGCCCAUCUGCAAAUGGCCAGGCAGGUGAGUGAUGGUUUUUCAUUUCUUGAAGAAGAAAUGAAAGAACCGCAUUAAGGGUUGUAGAGAAGUCUUACCUAACAAUUACAGGAACUGAUCCAAAGCUGCGUAUACAACACCGUGUGUGGUGUUCUUGUUGGGAAAGGGAUUUUCAAGGAUG